GACGAACGCUGGCGGCGUGCUUAACACAUGCAAGUCGAACGGAAAGGCCCUGCUUGCAGGGUGCUCGAGUGGCGAACGGGUGAGUAACACGUGGGUGAUCUGCCCCUUACUUUGGGAUAAGCCUGGGAAACUGGGUCUAAUACUGGAUAGGACCAUGCUGUAGGUGGUGUGGUGGAAAGAUUAGUUUCGGUAAGGGAUGAGCUCGCGGCCUAUCAGCUUGUUAGUGGGGUAAUGGCCUACCAAGGCGUCGACGGGUAGCCGGCCUGAGAGGGUGGACGGCCACAUUGGGACUGAGAUACGGCCCAGACUCCUACGGGAGGCAGCAGUGGGGAAUAUUGCACAAUGGGCGCAAGCCUGAUGCAGCGACGCCGCGUGGGGGAUGACGGCCUUCGGGUUGUAAACUCCUUGCAGCCAUGACGAAGCCCUUGUGGUGACGGUAGUGGUAGAAGAAGCACCGGCUAACUACGUG
Molecule: ribosomal RNA, 469 nt
Filed under: uncultured bacterium
Lineage: Bacteria
Description: partial 16S ribosomal RNA
Rfam family: Bacterial small subunit ribosomal RNA
Source: RNAcentral